UACGAAGGGGGCGAGCGUUGUUCGGAUUUACUGGGCGUAAAGCGCACGUAGGCGGCUUCGCAAGUCGGAUGUGAAAUCCCGUGGCUCAACCAUGGACGUGCAUUCGAAACUGCGAAGCUUGAGUAUGGAAGAGGGUCGCGGAAUUCCCGGUGUAGAGGUGAAAUUCGUAGAUAUCGGGAGGAACACCAGUGGCGAAGGCGGCGACCUGGGCCAAUACUGACGCUGAGGUGCGAAAGCGUGGGGAGCAAACAGG
RNAcentral lists this ribosomal RNA (253 nucleotides) under uncultured bacterium. RNAcentral's name for it is "partial 16S ribosomal RNA". It matches the Rfam family "Bacterial small subunit ribosomal RNA", at positions 524 to 776 of the family's 1533-position model. The record is from RNAcentral.